UUUCUAGUCACAACCCUCACUGGGAAAGGACAGCUCCGUUUGGGGUCUCAUAAGAUACUGCAUGACCAGUUUUGAUGACAUCUGGUGGUUUGGCCUCCGUCCCUUAGACGAGGGUUUCUUCAUCAUCAUCAUAACCACUGAUUGUGGACCAUCAUUGGAAUAAAUCCGGUUGUAAAAACAGCAUGCUUUUGUGUCUCUCCAUUACCCUGCAUAAGCCUCUGCGACAAAUGGGAUCCCUGCAAGAUAAUCCAGUAAUUAAACACUUAUAGAACAAUACUUACCUUUAAUGCCAAUUAUACAAUGUAUGCUAUUUCUCAUGUCACUAUCAAUACAUUGCUAU
Long non-coding RNA from Haliotis rufescens (red abalone), 340 nucleotides. RefSeq lists it as uncharacterized. The record is from RefSeq and is a predicted model, not a curated record. The transcript is spliced from 3 exons. Lineage: Eukaryota; Metazoa; Mollusca; Gastropoda; Lepetellida; Haliotidae.